RNAcentral lists this ribosomal RNA (289 nucleotides) under bacterium. Its description in RNAcentral is "partial 16S ribosomal RNA". It matches the Rfam family "Bacterial small subunit ribosomal RNA", at positions 515 to 803 of the family's 1533-position model. The record is from RNAcentral.
CCGCGGUAAUACGGAGGGUGCGAGCGUUAAUCGGAAUUACUGGGCGUAAAGCGCGCGUAGGCGGCUUGAUAAGCCGGUUGUGAAAGCCCCGGGCUCAACCUGGGAACGGCAUCCGGAACUGUCAGGCUAGAGUGCAGGAGAGGAAGGUAGAAUUCCCGGUGUAGCGGUGAAAUGCGUAGAGAUCGGGAGGAAUACCAGUGGCGAAGGCGGCCUUCUGGACUGACACUGACGCUGAGGUGCGAAAGCGUGGGUAGCAAACAGGAUUAGAUACCCUGGUAGUCCACGCCGU